This 72-nucleotide transfer RNA is filed under the name Beauveria bassiana. Its description in RNAcentral is "tRNA-Ala". It matches the Rfam family "tRNA". Rfam says of the family: Transfer RNA (tRNA) molecules are approximately 80 nucleotides in length. The record is from RNAcentral. RNAcentral also lists the same sequence under 2 other names. Lineage: Eukaryota; Fungi; Ascomycota; Sordariomycetes; Hypocreales; Cordycipitaceae.
GGGCCUGUGGUCUAGGGGUAUGAUCCUCGAUCCGCAAUUGAGUGGUCCGGGGUUCAAAUCCCCGUAGGUCCA